RNAcentral lists this transfer RNA (73 nucleotides) under Agrilus planipennis (emerald ash borer). It matches the Rfam family "tRNA". From Rfam's summary of the family: Transfer RNA (tRNA) molecules are approximately 80 nucleotides in length. Their secondary structure includes four short double-helical elements and three loops (D, anti-codon, and T loops). Lineage: Eukaryota; Metazoa; Arthropoda; Insecta; Coleoptera; Buprestidae. The record is from Rfam by way of RNAcentral.
UCUCUCGUAGCUUAGUGGGCAGUGCAUUGGUGCGUAAAGCCAAAGGUCCCGUGUUCUACUCCCGGCGGGGGUA